RNAcentral lists this long non-coding RNA (1214 nucleotides) under Equus caballus (horse). Its description in RNAcentral is "lncRNA (ENSECAG00000051653.1)". Lineage: Eukaryota; Metazoa; Chordata; Mammalia; Perissodactyla; Equidae. The record is from RNAcentral.
GUGGUCCCAUUUACUGAGGUGGGCAGCUCUGGGGAAGAGGGAAUGGGGGGCAGAUGGAAAUAAAAUGUCUCAUCCUGACAUGUUCAGUUAAUAUCCCUUUUACACAUCCAACUGAAGACGUGAGGUAAGAAACUGAAUACACAGGUAUGGAAUUCAGGGGACAUUUCAGAGCCAAGGAAAGACACUUGAGAGUCAUCAGCCAACAGAUGAUAUUUAAAGCCACAAGACAGGACGCAGCCACCCAGGGAGUGAACGUUGACACACGAGAAGAGGUGGAGGACCGAGCCCCAAGAUUGAUAUCAAUGGCAGAUUUCUCAGUCUCUCUAGCUGUAAUUGCUCCAAAGUCAUGCUUAAAGCCAGCGUCCAUCAGCUCUUCCUUAGAUCAGUUCACAGCCCUGUGUAAUACUGAACAAGCCCUGGGGUUCCUACUCUUCCAGGAGUAGAUCUGUGCCAGCCAGCUACUGGUUUGCUCUAGAUCCAUCCCCACCCUUCUCUGAUCUGCCCAGAAUCUCAAGAGACUACAUUUCCCAGGCUCCUCCACCCUCUAGCUUUCUGAAAGAAAUGCCGCAUUUCAGUUAGAGGUCGGAGAAAAUAAAGAUGUAGCUGUUUCUCCCGUUCCCACGCACAAACUCCAUGGACCGCAUCUUAAGAAGCCCUGCAGAUGGAGUGGAAUAUUACACAGUGGUCAAGAGACUGAACUUUUGACUCAGACAGCCUGGCUCCCAACCUCGGCUCUGGCACUUGUUUUGUGACCUUUCCAAGUGACAGUCUCCUCAUCUGGAAAAUGAGGAGCCAGCCCGACAUCCCCCAGCUGUCCUGAGGACUAAAGAACUCCUGUGUGUGGAUUCCUUAGCCCAGCACCCCAAACCUGGUGUACGCUCAGUGGGCAGCUGUUCCAUUAACAUGGGAAUCAGUAAUACGGAGCCAGCCUGUGCUCUGGACGAGGUUCUGGGCAGAGAAGUGUCAUCUCAUCUCUGUUCUCCACAGGCAGGGAGGGUCUCUCAGCUACUUUGGAACUCAGAGAGAUGCCUUUCUCACGCUGGAUUCUGAAGCCCAGCCAGGGUCCUAGCCUCCAUGACCAGAGAGACAGAGAGUGGAAGGGAAAAGCCAGGCCCGAGGGAAUAGGGCCUUGCGGUGACACACUGGUCAAAGGAUGGCGCUAUGUGAGGAGUGACAAGGGCAGGGACUGGCCAGCUCCAAGAGGUGCUCCCAGG